CCAAAGGUCCUUUUCAGGACCACACACUCCUUCAACUAAGAGCUA
Larimichthys crocea (large yellow croaker) is the source of this 45-nucleotide non-coding RNA. NCBI's taxonomy places the organism in Eukaryota, Metazoa, Chordata, Actinopteri, Sciaenidae. The record is from Rfam.